Molecule: ribosomal RNA, 465 nt
Filed under: uncultured bacterium
Lineage: Bacteria
Description: partial 16S ribosomal RNA
Rfam family: Bacterial small subunit ribosomal RNA
Source: RNAcentral
CCUACGGGUGGCAGCAGUGGGGAAUAUUGCGCAAUGGGCGAAAGCCUGACGCAGCGACGCCGCGUGAGGGAUGAAGGUCUUCGGAUCGUAAACCUCUGUCAGCAGGGAAGAACGGUCACUGUGCUAAUCAGCAGUGAAUUGACGGUACCUGCAAAGGAAGCACCGGCUAACUCCGUGCCAGCAGCCGCGGUAAUACGGAGGGUGCGAGCGUUAAUCGGAAUUACUGGGCGUAAAGCGCUCGUAGGCGGUAUGUCAAGUCAAGGGUGAAAUCCCCGCGCUCAACGUGGGAACUGCCUUUGAAACGGGCAAACUGGAGUGUGUGAGAGGAUAGUGGAAUUCCAGGUGUAGGAGUGAAAUGCGUAGAUAUCUGGAGGAACAUCAGUGGCGAAGGCGACUAUCUGGCACAUAACUGACGCUGAGGAGCGAAAGCGUGGGUAGCAAACAGGAUUAGAUACCCGGGUAGUC